GAGUGAACGCUGGCGGUAGGCCUAACCCCUGCAAGUCGAACGGCAGCACAGUAAGAGCUUGCUCUUACGGGUGGCGAGUGGCGGACGGGUGAGGAAUACAUCGGAAUCUACUUUUUCGUGGGGGAUAACGUAGGGAAACUUACGCUAAUACCGCAUACGACCUACGGGUGAAAGCAGGGGAUCUUCGGACCUUGCGCGAUUGAAUGAGCCGAUGUCGGAUUAGCUAGUUGGCGGGGUAAAGGCCCACCAAGGCGACGAUCCGUAGCUGGUCUGAGAGGAUGAUCAGCCACACUGGAACUGAGACACGGUCCAGACUCCUACGGGAGGCAGCAGUGGGGAAUAUUGGACAAUGGGCGCAAGCCUGAUCCAGCCAUACCGCGUGGGUGAAGAAGGCCUUCGGGUUGUAAAGCCCUUUUGUUGGGAAAGAAAAGCAGCAGGUUAAUACCCCGCUGUUCUGACGGUACCCAAAGAAUAAGCACCGGCUAACUUCGUG
RNAcentral lists this ribosomal RNA (493 nucleotides) under uncultured bacterium. Its description in RNAcentral is "partial 16S ribosomal RNA". It matches the Rfam family "Bacterial small subunit ribosomal RNA", at positions 27 to 507 of the family's 1533-position model. The record is from RNAcentral.